Long non-coding RNA from Rhincodon typus (whale shark), 740 nucleotides. RefSeq lists it as uncharacterized. Lineage: Eukaryota; Metazoa; Chordata; Chondrichthyes; Orectolobiformes; Rhincodontidae. The record is from RefSeq and is a predicted model, not a curated record. The transcript has 3 exons.
GGUAGAGACACAAGCAUGCGGCUAAUUUUUACUCAGCCUUAAAAUGAAGGAAAAGCAAUAUAGUUCAGAGUCAGGAUCGUGUGCGCCUUGGAAGGUUCUUGCAGGAGGUGGUGAAUCUGCUACCCUGGCUCAUUCUAGCGGCAGACGUCACAGAUAUCCAAGAAGUGCCUCUUGACAAAGCACUGAAGAAACACCAAGGCGGCAGUGAAGAAAGCACACUGGCCCCCAAUUUCACAGUCACAGCAACCAUCUUACAUAUUGAUAUCGUAUAUUAUGUGUUGCACAUGUACCACGAACACAGGAUCCUCACAUAAAGAAACAUCAGGCUUAAGGUGUGCUGAAAGUGGGGAAAGAAGCCAGGAUCACACGGACAAGGUGUCAUCUCGGAAUGAGAAUUCUGCUGCAGACAAUUCAAAUGAGAAUUUCAACAUACAGCCUACAACGAACACUGACGGGGUAGAGAUGAACCAGGAAAUUAGACUGUUGAGUCUCAUAGCAACUAAGCCACACUGCCUUCGUAAGUGAUGAACAGAGACUCUUCAGAUGGCAAGCUCAGCUCAUCGGAUGUGACACACUGUUUCCAUGGACUUCAUCCUGUAUUACAUGUACUACCUGCAUACACAGUCUGGCUGUUUGGUAUUUGUAGUGCAUAAAAAAAGGAAUUUCCCAAAACAUUAAACACAAAUAUACAAAGUGGCAGUCACAUAAUGACAUUAUCAUUUAAUAAAAGGAAUUGAUGA